RNAcentral lists this unclassified non-coding RNA (233 nucleotides) under soil metagenome. RNAcentral's name for it is "partial internal transcribed spacer 1". The record is from RNAcentral.
UUGAAUUUUAAUGAAGAGUUUUGGUUGUAGCUGGCCCAUUCAUUUGGGCAUGUGCACACCUUCCUCUUUCAUCCCACACACACCUGUGAACCUGUGAGACAGAGAUGGGGAAUUUACUUGCUGCUUUUUGGAAUACAAAGGCAAUAGGUUAUUGGACCCCCCCUCUGUCUACUCAAUUAAUAUAAACUCAAUUUAUUUUAAAACGAAUGUAAUGGAUGUAACACAUCUCAUAC